UAAAAAGUGUAAUUGGGGCCAGUAUAGCUUACCAGUUUGUCAUUUUCCUCUAAUCUUUUGUCAAACUCAAAGACUGAAAUGGAUAUCCCGAAAGUGGGAAAUAUCAAUACAGGUAAUUAAAUUGAAUUACAGAACAACUCGCAAGACUGUUUUGAUGUCCACUGCUAGGCAAGAAGGCUCUUUACGAUGACGGAAACGGCACAAGACCAAGAGAAUGAUGGAAUCAGACAGACCCAAACGUACGGAGUGCAGAUGUUAACAGAGGACAUCUAUGUAAACUGUUAUUGGUCUCAACUAGAGAGGGCAGUCACACAACUCCUUGCCCAAGAACCAGGAGUUUUCAUCCGAUUAUCCUAUGAACAAAUGUACAGCUGUGUCUACAAGUGUGUAUGUCAUCAAUAUUCAGAACGGAUGUAUGGGGAUCUUAGAAGAGUCCUUACUGGUUAUCUUCAGGAGAAAGCUGUAUAUCUGCAGGUAUUGCAACAGAUGUGUAAUUCAAGUGAAUUUUGUAAGCGAUUCCACACUGUGCUAAAGCAGUACACCCAAGCUCUCGGAGGAAUAGUGCCUAUAUUUACUUUUUUGAACAGAUUUUAUAUAACGCAGAAGCUUGGGAUGGAACUGAGGCCUGAACUAGAGAAACUGUUCAUACAACAUUUACAGACCCAUAUAUUUAAAGUUUUAGGCAUGCUUCAUGAGGCUCAAGCCAAGCCAUUUUCAGUUGAUCCAUCCAUUGCCUCCGAUAUCAUCCAUGGACUCUACGAAAUCAAACAAGACUAUGCAGAACUUAAUCCUGGCCUGUUUGCCAAGUACAUUCCUAGCAUCUUACCACCCUGCAAUGUUGAGAACCUGUCUGACUACAUCGCAGAGACGCACCAAAUGCAAACACAACUCCUAUCUCAAGAAGACUUCAACAGAGACAACCAAAGUCAAAAGAAGAGAAGUAACGAUGCUGAGGCAGUGGUCAGUUGACACCAGUCACAUGACAUCAGUGGACAUCACAUCUGAAAUCAGUGUACAUGUUGGUUCACCAAGUCUUUCAUGCAUGUACAGUUUAUGCCCUCAUUUUAAGAAAAAAGUGGUUUUAGUGUAAUUAUUACAGCUUGCGAAAUCAGUUUCCUUCCUGCCAGAGUUGUCAGGUUGUCAUGGAGAUUGGAUUCAUUGUAUUUGUCAUCGCAUUGUACCUUGGCAAACCUGGUACUUCAGAAAACUGUUCAAAGGCCUAAUCUCGACAGAGGCCUGUUCAAUAAUUAUAUGAAACUAGCUACUUUGUAGGACACACCGGUUUAGGAAAAAAUGGAUAUCGAUCAAGCCUUGUGGAGACCCUGGGUUUAUACAUCAAAGAUCUCAUAUAAGCGUAAAACUCUGAUUCGUACAUUGAUAUUAACUGAAUUUAAAGUAUAACAUUUAAUUUGAAACUUCUAAAAUCAGUGGAAAAAGUAAUUAAGCUGGGAAAAAUAACCAUCAAAAUGGCGGUUGAAUCAAAACUUGAAAUAAAUUCUUGAUUGCUUUUUUUACACUUGAAAGAAAAUUAUCUGUCCUUUGCAAUUCUAAUUGAGUGUUGAACUUGUUCUAUACUUUUAUUUGUGAAUAACAAUUCAUAGUAUUAGAUCAAUGGUUCUUACUACACUAUUAAUUGUAAAAAAUGCUUCCCUGCUUUUACUCAGAAAAUGAGAACUCUCCUCGGUCAAAUUUAAAGUUUCAAAAUGGGUUUUAACUUUAAGAAAAACCAGAAUUGUACAGUUGUAUUUUGUACAUAUCUUGCAUCUAUUGCACUGUCGACAGUUUUUGUUAGUGCUCAAAGCAAAUCCAGUUUUAUACUUCAGAAGUUAAUUUACAGUGUUGUUUCCAAAAAAAAUGAAAUAAAUGCAAGUGUGUAUGUCUGUCAUGUAAA
RNAcentral lists this unclassified non-coding RNA (1891 nucleotides) under Acanthaster planci (crown-of-thorns starfish). RNAcentral describes it as "cDK2-associated and cullin domain-containing protein 1-like, transcript variant X3". Lineage: Eukaryota; Metazoa; Echinodermata; Asteroidea; Valvatida; Acanthasteridae. The record is from RNAcentral.